Molecule: ribosomal RNA, 253 nt
Filed under: uncultured bacterium
Lineage: Bacteria
Description: partial 16S ribosomal RNA
Rfam family: Bacterial small subunit ribosomal RNA
Source: RNAcentral
UACGGGGGGGGCAAGCGUUGUUCGGAAUUACUGGGCGUAAAGGGCUCGUAGGUGGCCAACUAAGUCAGACGUGAAAUCCCUCGGCUUAACCGGGGAACUGCGUCUGAUACUGGAUGGCUUGAGUUCGGGAGAGGGAUGCGGAAUUCCAGGUGUAGCGGUGAAAUGCGUAGAUAUCUGGAGGAACACCGGUGGCGAAGGCGGCAUCCUGGACCGACACUGACGCUGAGGAGCGAAAGCCAGGGGAGCAAACAGG